Molecule: long non-coding RNA, 1134 nt
Organism: Chelonia mydas (Green sea turtle)
Lineage: Eukaryota; Metazoa; Chordata; Testudines; Cheloniidae
Exons: 3
Source: RefSeq, a predicted model, not a curated record
UGGGAUGUAUGCCUAGGGAGGGGCUCUGGGAGAGGCCCUGAAGGAAGGCCAAUCUAGGAAGAGGCCCAGGGAGACAGCAGACCUUAGCUGCUUGCUCCAGGGUCCCUGGCCUGGAGCCUAGAGAGGGAGAGUCUGGGUUCCCCUGGGAAAGGUGAUGCGGACACCCCCUGAGACAAGAUGGAGAAGGACUAUUGAGUUUGGAGCCAGGGAGAAAGCCCUGGAGGCCUAAGUUGCAUUCCCCUCUUGGAAGAGGUUGCUCCUGUUGGGAAAGAGUUAAGAGAGUAUUGCUGAUCACGAGUGCAGGUGCCUGGUGGCAGUGAUUCCCUAGAGAGAGGAUCUAGGGGGUGUGCUGAGCAGUCCUGAGGAAGGAGGCCCUGGGGAGAAGGUCUGAAGUGAAUUUUAUGUGUACUCUGGUUUAUCUUAGUUUAUGAAGCUGAACCCUAGAAGGAGGAUCUUCACAGAGCAACAGCGUCUGCUUGGAAUUCCUCAGCAGAGCUCGGAUGCCACUGAAGCACUGGAAGGUUCAGAAGAAUCCAGAAAAGCAGAAUAACAGGCCAGCUCUGGCCUACCCCAUCCCAUGGGCACUGCAAACCUUGUAGGAAACGUACAGCCUCCUUUGACCAAGGAGCAUGACAAUUUAUAACACAAAUACUGAUCACUCCGCUGCUGCCCUUUAACUUCUCAUCAGUUUCAAACCAUUAGCAAAUUAAGCAAAACCUGGGCACUGAGGCCAACAGAAGAGCAGGACUCACAUUGUGAUUAAUAAAUACUAUUGCAGUAGUGUCUGGAGGCCCCAACCAAGAUCAGGGCCGUGUUGUGCUAGGCACUGAAUAUACACAUAGAGACACUCCCUACCCAAAAGAACUUCCAGGCUGGGCAAGAGAGAUGAAGCGACUGGCCCAAAGUCCCAGGGCAGAUGAGCAGCAGAGCCACAGUUAGAACAGUGAGUCCAAGGCCAGUUCUAUAUCCAUUGGACUAAGCUACCUCUUUAGACAAUGGCUUUCUGCAGGAAUUAAAAUGUACCCCCAAUACCUUGGCAUCAUGGGAUUUUUUUUCUUUGAUCUCAGGUUGCCAUUUAAUGGCCCCAGAUAAGGGACCAUCUGGUCUUCCAUCAUCCAGGAGCCAAAAUAUCAU